UUGCGAAUAUAUCACAUUGAAACACCGGUUCUCGUACGACCAUCGAAGUUAAGCAACGUCGAGCCUGGACAGUACUUAGAUGGGUGACCGCUUGGAAAUACCGGCUGCUGUAUG
Acanthosepion pharaonis is the source of this 114-nucleotide non-coding RNA. Lineage: Eukaryota; Metazoa; Mollusca; Cephalopoda; Sepiida; Sepiidae. The record is from the annotation of a GenBank genome assembly.